AACAGGGAUUGCCUUAGUAACGGCGAGUGAAGCGGCAAAAGCUCAAAUUUGAAAUCUGGCACCUUCGGUGUCCGAGUUGUAAUUUGAAGAAGGUAACUUUGGAGUUGGCUCUUGUCUAUGUUCCUUGGAACAGGACGUCACAGAGGGUGAGAAUCCCGUGCGAUGAGAUGCCCAAUUCUAUGUAAAGUGCUUUCGAAGAGUCGAGUUGUUUGGGAAUGCAGCUCUAAGUGGGUGGUAAAUUCCAUCUAAAGCUAAAUAUUGGCGAGAGACCGAUAGCGAACAAGUACAGUGAUGGAAAGAUGAAAAGAACUUUGAAAAGAGAGUGAAAAAGUACGUGAAAUUGUUGAAAGGGAAGGGCUUGAGAUCAGACUUGGUAUUUUGCGAUCCUUUCCUUCUUGGUUGGGUUCCUCGCAGCUUACUGGGCCAGCAUCGGUUUGGAUGGUAGGAUAAUGACUAAGGAAUGUGGCUCUACUUCGGUGGAGUGUUAUAGCCUUGGUUGAUACUGCCUGUCUAGACCGAGGACUGCGUCUUUUGACUAGGAUGUUGGCAUAAUGAUCUUAAGC
Molecule: ribosomal RNA, 563 nt
Filed under: Debaryomyces hansenii
Lineage: Eukaryota; Fungi; Ascomycota; Pichiomycetes; Serinales; Debaryomycetaceae
Description: eukaryotic LSU rRNA
Rfam family: Eukaryotic large subunit ribosomal RNA
Source: RNAcentral